GUGUCAGCAGCCGCGGUAAUACGAAGGGUGCAAACGUUGCUCGGAAUCAUUGGGCGUAAAGCGCACGUAGGCGGCCUAUUAAGUCGGAUGUGAAAUCCCUCGGCUCAACCGAGGACGUGCAUACGAAACUGGUAGGCUCGAGUAUGGAAGAGGGUCGCGGAAUUCCCGGUGUAGAGGUGAAAUUCGUAGAUAUCGGGAGGAACACCAGUGGCGAAGGCGGCGACCUGGGCCAAUACUGACGCUGAGACGCGAAAGCGUGGGGAGCGAACAGGAUUAGAUACCCUGGUAGUCC
Molecule: ribosomal RNA, 292 nt
Filed under: uncultured bacterium
Lineage: Bacteria
Description: partial 16S ribosomal RNA
Rfam family: Bacterial small subunit ribosomal RNA
Source: RNAcentral